This 443-nucleotide ribosomal RNA is filed under the name uncultured bacterium. Its description in RNAcentral is "bacterial SSU rRNA". It matches the Rfam family "Bacterial small subunit ribosomal RNA", at positions 958 to 1398 of the family's 1533-position model. The record is from RNAcentral.
AACGCGAAGAACCUUACCAGCCUUUGACAUGUCCGGUUUGGUUACCAGAGAUGGUUUCCUUCAGUUCGGCUGGCCGGAACACAGGUGCUGCAUGGCUGUCGUCAGCUCGUGUCGUGAGAUGUUGGGUUAAGUCCCGCAACGAGCGCAACCCUCGCCCUUAGUUGCCAUCAUUUAGUUGGGCACUCUAGGGGGACUGCCGGUGAUAAGCCGAGAGGAAGGUGGGGAUGACGUCAAGUCCUCAUGGCCCUUACGGGCUGGGCUACACACGUGCUACAAUGGCGGUGACAAUGGGAAGCGGAGGGGUGACCCCGAGCAAAUCUCAAAAAGCCGUCUCAGUUCAGAUUGUACUCUGCAACUCGAGUGCAUGAAGGUGGAAUCGCUAGUAAUCGCAGAUCAGCACGCUGCGGUGAAUACGUUCCCGGGCCUUGUACACACCGCGCAUA